Molecule: RNA transcript, 2870 nt
Organism: Melospiza georgiana
Lineage: Eukaryota; Metazoa; Chordata; Aves; Passeriformes; Passerellidae
Gene: MOCS2
Gene name: molybdenum cofactor synthesis 2
Exons: 6
Source: RefSeq, a predicted model, not a curated record
CGUCUCGCCCCGGCGCAGGCGCCGCCGUGGGCCCGCGGCGGAGGGCAGCUCGCCCCGGGACGGCGGCUCCAUGCGCUGCCAGGUCUCGGUGCUGUAUUUCGCCAGGAGCGCGGAGCUGGCGGGGCUGCGCUGCGAGACCCUCUCGGUGCCACGAGAGAUCACCUCUCUGCAGCUCUGGGAGGAGAUCGUCAAGGUCCACCCCAGGCUUGCUCUCAUCCGGGAUCAAGUGGUGUUUGCUGUUCGGCAGGAGUACGUGCUUCUUGGAGAUCAGCUCCUGGUCCUGCAGCCUGGAGACGAGGUUGCCAUCAUCCCACCAAUUAGUGGAGGCUGAACCUGCCCAGGUUCUGUUAGAGAGCUGGAUGGUGAACUUAUCAUUGCGUGACUUUACAAUGAAUGGAGAAGAGCUGCAAAAUAAAGAGGAAUUGCAUCAAAAUGCAAACUGAAAUUCUCUCACAUGCUCCUGCUGAGUUUUGAGUGCACCUGAACUGCUAACCAUGACAGCUGCUUGGUUCCACCAAGUGAGGUAAACUUGAAAUAUCAUCAGAGAAGAAAAAGUUCUGCCUUUUCCUCUACUUAAAAGAAAGAUAAGCAGCCCUUAAUAGUCAAGGACUAUUUUGCCACUAUAAGUGUCCAAGUAAGGGAACUAUAUUCUGCAUGUUGAUUCUUCCUUGAGAGCAACACAUGCUAACAAGCAGUGGAGGUAAGCUAUGAAAUCUGCUCUGGUACUGGUCCAGGAAGUGUUCACAGUUUGCUACCAGCCGAGUGUUGCAGCAAGCCUUCAACUGUGGGAAUGAAAUGGAGCCAUAGCAAGCCAUGGUUGCAUGAAUUUCAGGCAUCUGGACUAUUAAAUAAUACUGAACUUUUCAUACUCAGCAACUAAACCCCAGCAGUUGCUCUCAGGGACAUGAUGGCUUUCCUAAUUUUUGCAAUUUACAGCCAGUCGUAGAAAGGAGAAUGAUCUCAAGUACAAAGUGUUUGACAUACAAAUGAAGACUAUCAUGUUUCACAAGAUGUAGAUGCUUUGCUAAGUCUGAACAAGUCAUUUUUAGGCAAAAAACUCUUAAGCUGCACAUCUGCUGAUAAACAAUAUUUUCAUGCAGUAAAGGAUGCUCCUUAAUGAGCUGAGAAAGACAGGAUUCUCACAGCCUGAGGCAGAGGACAAAGCUGGUACUGUUGGAGUGUGCAGCUCAAAAUACUACUUAGAUAAUGGCCCUUAGCCUAACUUUCCAUUCAGUUUUAAACUGCCAAGCAUCUUACAAAGGAUAUUUUGUGAAAAAACAUUUGUGCCUGCCUACGGGUUGGAUAAAACAUAAAACUGCUGUUAAAAGCAAUGUCCAUGCCAUGAGACACAGAGGGAUAUGAAAAAGAUUAUGUGUAAAAACUCGCUGGCUGUCAAGCAGGGGUUUUUGUUGGAUUUCAUUUUUCAAAUCUCUCUCAAUUUUUCUUUGUAUUUAAAGAACCAAAAUGAAGUUAAGAAAUCCAAGAAAAAAAUAUCAAAUGUACUACUAUACUAGCAAGAAGCAAUUUAGAUUGAGAAUUUAAACAGAUUCAGAUAUCAAAUUUCAACAAACAAAGUUCUUGUGAUGCACAGAAGCUACUAUGUACAGAGCUGAUUAAUCUCCAAUUAUACACAUGCAAUAAACUGGCUUGUCAAAAGCUGCAGGGCACAGAAUUAACCUGCUUGCUUCCACCACCAGAAAAAAUGCAUGCAUGGACAUGGUUGUGAAUCCAGAAAACUGAAAGGUUUUGGGAUAGAACAGGAAACUAUGCCUCAAGAAUCAGCAUAAAUUGAUUUAGUCAGUAUUAUCUAAUUAGCAGUAUUAACUAACUGCUGGAGCAGCUUGACCUUGCUAUGCUUUGACAAAAAGCUAAAAUCCCAUUUUCAUUUGUAUUCUGGUUCUCUUGCAGACAGAUUGCAUGACUUCUGGGACUUAGGUUGAGGAGGAGACAUUUCAUGUCUUAUAUUGCAGGUGUCUUGUGUAGAAAUCUUAGCACAUCUCUGAGUUCCUAGAGAAAAUCUGCAAACCAAGAUGCCUUUAGGCAAUAAUGAAAUUAAUUAGAUUUUCAAAAACUCAGUCAUGCUAGGUCUUACAUCCUUCAUCUGUUGUAACAUUAUUUAACUUCUUAUUCUAUAUUCAUUAUAGCUAAUAGAUGCAAAUAACAUUUUAUUCUGACAAUGAAACACAAAUGUUUUUCUCACUUUUUUAAAAGUACAAAGGACAACUUGAAGACCAAGUUUUCAAUUCCUGUUUUAACAACUAUAUUCUCAUUUAAAGUGCAGAAUUCUUAGUACACAGUGAUUUACAAAAAGAGCACCCUAUUUAAUUAACUUUGAAGUACUCAUUGGCCCUAAGCAGGCUAAACUUUGAGCUUUAGCGAAUCAGAUUCUUCUCAAAUUAAUUUGUUGCAAAGCUGAGGAAACCAAAUUUUCCAGAAGGUAAAAAAGAAUGUAUAAACAAUAUUCUAAUAAACUUUUUAUUGCUGAAAACUUUAGUAAUAGCUGAAAUCAUUAACAUUUGACCCAACUAAAUAAUACACUAGAAGAAUAUAAAUAUGUCUGAGAACUACAACUCUAAUGUAAAAAAAAUUGAAAAUACUCUCUCAAUUUUGUACAUUCAAGUCAAUAUCUUCUUUUGUUCCAGCUAUAAACUACACUAUUCUAGCUACUUGGAAAGUUGAAGUGUUGAAAAAAAUAGUCCAAAUAGAUGGAUGUUUCCUUUGUACUACAUGAAUCCCUUCAGAGUUGGCCAGUAUAAUUUAUAACUAAUAAACUCUGUCUCCUGUUACCAGUAGUCCUUGAAACAAACAGUGGUUUGGGCACCGUUGUCUCAUUUGGAUGGAGAAUGUAAGCAGACAUUAUGAGAGAAUGA